RNAcentral lists this long non-coding RNA (1850 nucleotides) under Homo sapiens (human). Its description in RNAcentral is "HSALNT0355823". The record is from RNAcentral. Lineage: Eukaryota; Metazoa; Chordata; Mammalia; Primates; Hominidae.
GGGACACCCAAAGGGGGACAGUGAGCCCACUGUGUCUUUUAGAACCCAAAGCGAGUUACUGCAAACCUCAGGCAAUUGAAGUGAAUAUUGGCUAGCUCAAAAGGCUGUGAAGAUGACCACCGUAUCUAUCUGAGUAAUUUUUUUCUUCUGUCUCAGUCUUGAAAUCAGGCAUGGUUAUUUUUAUUUUCGGUGUAUGCAGGCUUAACCUAUGUGCUUAUAUUCACAAUGAACUCUUGAAUCGGAUCCUCUGUGUUUUGCUGGGGAGUAUUCAUUCCCCACUUGACCUGCUUUGUUGCUCAAAACUUUGUAGCUCAUCUUUGCCUUCCCGUCUGUUUAUUCUUGGUGUGGGGUUGUCAAGGAGAAAUGUUGGAAGGGAGAGAAGGGAGCAGGCAUCAUAGAUGGUAUUACAGGCGGCUGGUCUCUCCUCUCUCAGCCAACUAUGAGAACUAUUUGGGAUUGAAGGAGAUAAGCUACAGCAAGUCGUUACUUGUCCUGAAUGCACGACCUUCUUUCUUUGAGCAAGAGGACAAACCUGGGUAGGGAUCUCUAUGAUGUUUUCUGCGUUGCCCGUGGACGUUCAUCUUUCUGAUUUGUUAGCUGAAGAUGAGGAUCUGGAGCAGGAGCUCGGAGUGCCAUUGUUCCAUGGGCAGAUGUGCAGCAGAGAUUGCCACGCACCCAGUAAGGGGAAGUGAGGCAGACUGGCUGUGAACCUGGGGAUGCCACCAAAACCAGAGCAUUAGGAAGACAAGCAGGGCCUUCAGUAGGCAUAAGGUGAUGAGGUUCAUGCCGUUGGAUCCCACGGGUGCCCUGGGGAAGAGAUGGUUGGGAAGUCUGAGAGGAAGCAGGAGAGCUUUCGGAGCACAUGGAUGCCGUCCAGAAUGGAGAUGGUUGUGGCUCGGAAGAAAAAGAAAUCACCCAGCUCGGAGUCAGGAUACAUUUGGAGGUCCAGGCCGCCGAGUUUGCUGGUGGGGAAGAUAGGCACCAGAAAGGAAAGAGGACAUCCAGGGCAAUUUCUUCUGCCCCCCAGCCAAUCCGUACAUUGUCCAGAGGCCAAGCCUACUGCUGUUAGAAAACAUAUUUAGAAAUCACUUGGUUCUUCCUUGCCUGAACAUCAUCUAUUUAGUUAGCUUGUGUUGUUUAGAUGUGCUUCAGAUCUCAAAAAAAUAAAUUAUGUUAUUUGAAAGCUUGCUCUCUGCUUGUUUACACUAUUAAUUUAGAGUCCAGAGGAAUCUCUAAAUUUGCCUCUAGAAACCACAUAAUCACCUAAUAAUACCUUUCCUGACUCCACUUUCUGACACAAAGUGACUUUUGAAACGCUUCCAUCUUCCCUUUCUAUUUAAUGUACUGCACUCCACUCUUUUUUCCUUUCGUUUUUUCUACAGUCCGUCAUGGAGUAUUUGUUUACCAAAUGUUACUUUUCUUGGAUCCAAUCUAUUUUUGAAGAGCGCAAAAGCAAACAACUGUUUGAAGCUGUCAAGCUUCAUUUUAUUUAUGCAUGAAUAACACAAAUAACUUGAAAAUGACCUAGUCUGUUUUUCUCAGAUUUAGAUAGAAAAACUGCUUCCGGCCAAUGUUUAUGCCAAUUUGUUCAUGCCAAGUUUCCAGUUUCGGUGCCAACCGGUUUUUACAGCCAAGUUGUAAACCUUCGGUAAACAUGGCUUAUAAUGAAAAGUGCAACACAGCCUGAACCCUGGCACCAGGGGACGGAUGUAAAUUUAUUCUAAGAACAAAAUUCUAACAGGAACAGGAGGGGAGCUAGGCUGGCUACAAAGUGUUCCCACCGUAAUAUGGAAAAUGUACAGAUGAUGAUAUAUUUGAUUACUAAGAUCCCAUUAGGCCAAUUUAGGCAC